AUUGAACGCUGGCGGCAUGCCUUACACAUGCAAGUCGAACGGCAGCACGGGAGCAAUCCUGGUGGCGAGUGGCGAACGGGUGAGUAAUAUAUCGGAACGUGCCCAGUCGUGGGGAUAACGUAGCGAAAGCUACGCUAAUACCGCAUACGAUCUAUGGAUGAAAGCGGGGGAUCGCAAGACCUCGCGCGAUUGGAGCGGCCGAUAUCAGAUUAGGUAGUUGGUGAGGUAAAGGCUCACCAAGCCGACGAUCUGUAGCUGGUCUGAGAGGACGACCAGCCACACUGGGACUGAGACACGGCCCAGACUCCUACGGGAGGCAGCAGUGGGGAAUUUUUGGACAAUGGGCGAAAGCCUGAUCCAGCAAUGCCGCGUGAGUGAUGAAGGCCUCGGUGUAAG
Molecule: ribosomal RNA, 396 nt
Filed under: uncultured bacterium
Lineage: Bacteria
Description: bacterial SSU rRNA
Rfam family: Bacterial small subunit ribosomal RNA
Source: RNAcentral